GAGACUGUCAGAGAGCAAUACAAAACUUCUUGUGGAGAGACAGCAGCACCAAACUUUACUCAGGACCCUUACUAUGAGCCCAGGCCUGGAACCACCUUAUUGUGGACAUUUUGAAAAUAAUUUAGUGCUCAAUGGAAACUUUACUCCAGGAGGAAACUUAGUGAUUCCUACCUUGAACCCACGGCCGUCAUAUGACUACUGAGAGACUUCCUUGUGGAAGAUGCAGCGGGAGUUGGAAAAAGAAUAACCAGAGCACUAGAAGAAGCUGCUACCGAAUUUGAAUGAGGAUCCUGUAGAAAUCCUUUAGUAUCUACUGAUGAUUCAAUUCUAAAUCAAGAUCCAGUAUGGAAAGCGUCACGAGAAUAUGUACAGAUUUUGAACAAAAAUUAUACAAUUUGAAAAAUAAAUAGAAAAAAUUUACUGGAUGCUUACAAAACAUUUUCAUUGCUUCCCAAUUGAACACACUAUACGGCAAAAUCUUGAUUAAAGGAAAAAGUUUUUGUUUCAUA
This is a long non-coding RNA of Neofelis nebulosa (Clouded leopard), 509 nucleotides long. RefSeq lists it as uncharacterized. The record is from RefSeq and is a predicted model, not a curated record. The transcript has 3 exons. NCBI's taxonomy places the organism in Eukaryota, Metazoa, Chordata, Mammalia, Carnivora, Felidae.